UGUAAACCUAACAGACACGCGCGCGC
RNAcentral lists this non-coding RNA (26 nucleotides) under Mus musculus (house mouse). Lineage: Eukaryota; Metazoa; Chordata; Mammalia; Rodentia; Muridae. The record is from RNAcentral.